CGGAGGGUGCAAGCGUUAUCCGGAUUCACUGGGUUUAAGGGUGUGUAGGCGGAUAGGUAAGUCCGUGGUGAAAUCCUGCAGCUUAACUGCAGAACUGCCAUGGAUACUCUCUAUCUUGAAUGUCGUGGAGGUUAGCAGAAUAUGUCAUGUAGCGGUGAAAUGCUUAGAUAUGACAUAGAAUACCCAUUGCGAAGGCAGCUAACUACGCGAUAAUUGACGCUGAUGCACGAAAGCGUGGGGAUCAAACAGGAUUAGAUACCCUGGUAGUCCACGCCCUAAACGAUGAUUACUCGACAUUGGCGAUACACAGUCAGUGUCUGAGCGAAAGCAUUAAGUAAUCCACCUGGGAAGUACGAUCGCAAGAUUG
This 367-nucleotide ribosomal RNA is filed under the name uncultured organism. RNAcentral describes it as "bacterial SSU rRNA". It matches the Rfam family "Bacterial small subunit ribosomal RNA", at positions 526 to 896 of the family's 1533-position model. The record is from RNAcentral.